GAUGAACGCUGGCGGCGUGCCUAAUACAUGCCAGUCGAGCGAACAGACGAGGAGCUUGCUCCUCUGACGUUAGCGGCGGACGGGUGAGUAACACGUGGAUAACCUACCUAUAAGACUGGGAUAACUUCGGGAAACCGGAGCUAAUACCGGAUAAUAUAUUGAACCGCAUGGUUCAAUAGUGAAAGACGGUUUUGCUGUCACUUAUAGAUGGAUCCGCGCCGCAUUAGCUAGUUGGUAAGGUAACGGCUUACCAAGGCAACGAUGCGUAGCCGACCUGAGAGGGUGAUCGGCCACACUGGAACUGAGACACGGUCCAGACUCCUACGGGAGGCAGCAGUAGGGAAUCUGCCGCAAUGGGCGAAAGCAUGACGGAGCAACGCCGCGUGAGUGAUGAAGGUCUUCGGAUCGUAAAACUCUGUUAUUAGGGAAGAACAAAUGUGUAAGUAACUAUGCACGUCUUGACGGUACCUAAUCAGAAAGCCACGGCUAACUACGUG
This 497-nucleotide ribosomal RNA is filed under the name uncultured bacterium. RNAcentral's name for it is "partial 16S ribosomal RNA". It matches the Rfam family "Bacterial small subunit ribosomal RNA", at positions 28 to 507 of the family's 1533-position model. The record is from RNAcentral.